This 161-nucleotide ribosomal RNA is filed under the name Amanita sp. AD-C55035. RNAcentral describes it as "5.8S ribosomal RNA". It matches the Rfam family "5.8S ribosomal RNA". From Rfam's summary of the family: 5.8S ribosomal RNA (5.8S rRNA) is a component of the large subunit of the eukaryotic ribosome. Lineage: Eukaryota; Fungi; Basidiomycota; Agaricomycetes; Agaricales; Amanitaceae. RNAcentral also lists the same sequence under 1 other name. The record is from RNAcentral.
AUAACUUUCAACAACGGAUCUCUUGGCUCUCGCAUCGAUGAAGAACGCAGCGAAAUGCGAUAAGUAAUGUGAAUUGCAGAAUUCAGUGAAUCAUCGAAUCUUUGAACGCAUCUUGCGCUCCUUGGUAUUCCAUGGAGCAUGCCUGUUUGAGUGUCAUUAAA